UAUUGGUCAAUGGGCGUAAGCCUGAACCAGCCAAGUAGCGUGAAGGAUGACUGCCCUAUGGGUUGUAAACUUCUUUUAUAUGGGAAUAAAAUGAGUUACGUGUAUCUUCUUGUAUGUACCAUAUGAAUAAGGAUCGGCUAACUCCGUGCCAGCAGCCGCGGUAAUACGGAGGAUCCGAGCGUUAUCCGGAUUUAUUGGGUUUAAAGGGAGCGUAGGUGGAUUGUUAAGUCAGUUGUGAAAGUUUGCGGCUCAACCGUAAAAUUGCAGUUGAAACUGGCAGUCUUGAGUACAGUAGAGGUGGGCGGAAUUCGUGGUGUAGCGGUGAAAUGCUUAGAUAUCACGAAGAACUCCGAUUGCGAAGGCAGCUCACUAGACUGCAACUGACACUGAUGCUCGAAAGCGUGGGGAGCAAACAG
RNAcentral lists this ribosomal RNA (416 nucleotides) under uncultured bacterium. RNAcentral describes it as "bacterial SSU rRNA". It matches the Rfam family "Bacterial small subunit ribosomal RNA", at positions 362 to 775 of the family's 1533-position model. The record is from RNAcentral.